UGUCUUUUUGAAAAUAAUAUAAAGUCUAAUCUGCCCACUGAUUUAAUAAUUGAAGGGCUGCAGUAUAUUGACUGUACAAAGGUAGCAUAAUCAUUAGUCAUUUAAUUGGUGGCUUGUAUGAAAGAUUGGAUGAAAUAUAAACUGUCUCUUAAUUAAAUAUAGAAUUUAAUUUUUUAAUUAAAAAGUUAAAAUAAAAUAAAAAGACGAGAAGACCCUAUAGAGUUUUAUAAUUAAUUUAAUUAAGGUUAUUAUUUGAUUUAAAAAUUAAAAUUAAAUUAUUUAUUUUGUUGGGGUGAUAGAAAAAUAUAUUUAACUUUUUUUAAAUUAAAAACAUUUAUAAGUGAUUAAAUGAUCCAAUAUUAUUGAUUAUAAGAAAAAAUUACCUUAGGGAUAACAGCGUAAUUUUUUUUUUUAGUUCAAAUAAGAAAAAGAGUUUGCGACCUCGAUGUUGGAUUAAGAUAAAAUUUAAAUGCAGAAG
RNAcentral lists this ribosomal RNA (478 nucleotides) under Mesoligia furuncula. RNAcentral's name for it is "partial 16S large subunit ribosomal RNA". Lineage: Eukaryota; Metazoa; Arthropoda; Insecta; Lepidoptera; Noctuidae. The record is from RNAcentral.